Molecule: ribosomal RNA, 490 nt
Filed under: uncultured bacterium
Lineage: Bacteria
Description: partial 16S ribosomal RNA
Rfam family: Bacterial small subunit ribosomal RNA
Source: RNAcentral
AUUGAACGCUGGCGGCAUGCCUUACACAUGCAAGUCGAACGGCAGCAUGAUCUAGCUUGGUAGAUUGAUGUCGCGUGGCGAAGGGGUGAGUAAUACAUCGGAACAUGCCCUGUAUUGGGGGGUAACUAGUCGAAAGAUUAACUAAUACCGCAUACGACCUGAGGGUGUAAGUGGGGGACCGCAAGGCACCUUGCUAUAGUAGCUGAGGAUGUCUGAUUAGCUAGUUGGUGAGGUAAAGGCUCACCAAGGCGACGAUCCGUAGCUGGUCUGAGAGGAUGAUCAGCCACACUGGAACUGAGACACGGCCCAGACUCCUACGGGAGGCAGCAGUGGGGAAUAUUGGACAAUGGGCGCAAGCCUGAUCCAGCAAUGCCGCGUGUGUGAAGAAGGCCUUCGGGUUGUAAAGCACUUUUGUCCGGAAAGAAAUGCAUCAGGUUAAUACCUCGGGUUGCUGACGGUACCGGAAGAAUAAGGACCGGCUAACUACGUG